CUUCUUGAUUGCUGUGCGUCGUUCACUUUGGGCACAAGUUCGCCCUCAAUAAACCAUGCCCCGUCACCAGUCAGCAGAUUAUACCACGUCCGGCGCCGCAAUCUCAUCCGCCUUCCUGCCAGUUAAUCCGACGUCCAGCUGCACAAACCAUUCAAGAACAGUACAGCCUCCGCCAGCACAAACCACUGCCCAUCUUCGCUCCCUUUAAGUGCCAACCGCACUAGACUUGAACCAUCUGCCUGCAUCUACCGUCUACCCCUCCAACCCUCCAUAAUUCCAAGAUUGCCCUCAAGUCACUUUUUCUGCUGUAAUUAUCACCCAUCCCUCAUUAAAUACCCCAACUGGGGCAUUUUAGGUAUUCAAAAUAAAUAAAUAAUUAAAUUUCUUUAUCGGA
This is a long non-coding RNA of Rhipicephalus microplus (southern cattle tick), 394 nucleotides long. NCBI's taxonomy places the organism in Eukaryota, Metazoa, Arthropoda, Arachnida, Ixodida, Ixodidae. The record is from RefSeq and is a predicted model, not a curated record.